AACGAACGCUGGCGGCGUGCCUAACACAUGCAAGUCGAACGAGAAACUUCCCGCUUGCGGGAGGGAGUAAAGUGGCGCACGGGUGAGUAACGCGUGGGUAACCUGCCCUUGAAUCUGGGAUAACUCUGCGAAAGCGGUGCUAAUACCGGAUAUGGUUUCGAAGACUUCGGUUUUCGGGAUUAAAGGUGACCUCUUCAUGAAAGUUGCCGUUUAAGGAUGGGCCCGCGUACCAUUAGCUUGUUGGUAGGGUAAUGGCCUACCAAGGCUGCGAUGGUUAGCUGGUCUGAGAGGAUGAUCAGCCACACUGGAACUGAAACACGGUCCAGACUCCUACGGGAGGCAGCAGUGAGGAGUUUUGCGCAAUGGGGGAAACCCUGACGCAGCAACGCCGCGUGAGCGAAGAAGGCCUUCGGGUCGUAAAGCUCUGUCAAGUGGGAAAAACGUCUACCGGUCAAUAGCCGGCAGAUCUGAUGGUACCA
This 479-nucleotide ribosomal RNA is filed under the name uncultured Desulfobacteraceae bacterium. Its description in RNAcentral is "bacterial SSU rRNA". It matches the Rfam family "Bacterial small subunit ribosomal RNA", at positions 29 to 480 of the family's 1533-position model. The record is from RNAcentral. Lineage: Bacteria; Pseudomonadati; Thermodesulfobacteriota; Desulfobacteria; Desulfobacterales; Desulfobacteraceae.